Molecule: ribosomal RNA, 497 nt
Filed under: uncultured bacterium
Lineage: Bacteria
Description: partial 16S ribosomal RNA
Rfam family: Bacterial small subunit ribosomal RNA
Source: RNAcentral
GAUGAACGCUGGCGGCGUGCCUAAUACAUGCAAGUCGAGCGAACAGACGAGGAGCUUGCUCCUCUGACGUUAGCGGCGGACGGGUGAGUAACACGUGGAUAACCUACCUAUAAGACUGGGAUAACUUCGGGAAACCGGAGCUAAUACCGGAUAAUAUAUUGAACCGCAUGGUGCAAUAGUGAAAGACGGUUUUGCUGUAACUUAUAGAUGGAUCCGCGCCGCAUGAGCUAGUUGGUAAGGUAACGGCUUACCAAGGCGACGAUGCGUAGCCGACCUGAGAGGGUGGUCGGCCACCCUGGAACUGGGACACCGUCCAUGCUCCUACGGGAGGCAGCAGUAGGGAAUCUUCCGCAAUGGGCGAAAGCCUGACGCAGCGACGCCGCGUGAGUGAUGAAGGUCUUCCGAUCGUAAAGCUCUGUUAUUAGGGAAGAACAAAUUUGUAAGUAACUAUGCACGUCUUGACGGUACCUAAUCAGAAAGCCCCGGCUAACUACGUG